AGUUAAAUGGCUUAAACAAAGCGUAUAUUUUGAAAAUAUGAAAUAAAAGUUAAAUUCUUUUAUUAACU
RNAcentral lists this transfer RNA (68 nucleotides) under Xenophyes cascus. RNAcentral describes it as "tRNA-Ser". It matches the Rfam family "tRNA". From Rfam's summary of the family: Transfer RNA (tRNA) molecules are approximately 80 nucleotides in length. Their secondary structure includes four short double-helical elements and three loops (D, anti-codon, and T loops). Lineage: Eukaryota; Metazoa; Arthropoda; Insecta; Hemiptera; Peloridiidae. The record is from RNAcentral.